This 380-nucleotide unclassified non-coding RNA is filed under the name uncultured bacterium. Its description in RNAcentral is "contains 16S-23S intergenic spacer region". The record is from RNAcentral.
UCCGGCUUGACGCCGGCAGUCCCCCGAGAGUCCUCAGCAUUACCUGUUAGUAACACGGGGCGAGGGUUGCGCUCGUUGCGGGACUUAACCCAACAUCUCACGACACGAGCUGACGACAGCCAUGCAGCACCUGUGCUGGUGUUCCGAAGAAGGGCCCCACUUUCAUGAGGCUUUCACCAGCAUGUCAAGCCCAGGUAAGGUUCUUCGCGUUGCGUCGAAUUAAACCACAUGCUCCGCUGCUUGUGCGGGUCCCCGUCAAUUCCUUUGAGUUUUAAUCUUGCGACCGUACUUCCCAGGCGGCGCAUUUAUCGCGUUAGCUUCGCCACAAACGGGGUCGAUUCCGUUUACAGCAAAUGCGCACCGUUUACAGCCAAGACUAC